Lemur catta (Ring-tailed lemur) is the source of this 711-nucleotide long non-coding RNA. RefSeq lists it as uncharacterized. The record is from RefSeq and is a predicted model, not a curated record. The transcript has 2 exons. Lineage: Eukaryota; Metazoa; Chordata; Mammalia; Primates; Lemuridae.
CUCAGACUCUCGGCAUCCAUGCGCAGAAAUGAAAAAUCAUUCACAAGUUAUUGAUAAUCUGCAACCCCCUCCACCUCCCAUCCUGUGUCUGUAAACCCUGAGUGAUCUGAACUCUGUGACAGAAGCUCCCACCAAAAGCACUUUGUGGGAGUGCUGUGUCACCUGCCCACACUGUUGCAGGCCUUGGACUUUGCUCAGACAGGUAGGAUCCCGAUGGCUGACUAGACACAGGCGGCGUGUGCCGCCUCCACAGAAAGGAACCAGAAUAGUAAGAAGAUUCUUAUAUUUUGAAAAGACCGUCAAGAAGAGAAUGCUGGGAUUCACCAGGGAAGUGAGGGAAUCAUAAAACUGGGUAAGGAUGUUAGAGUAGGUAGUCAGGUAAAGGAAAGGAGGAGGGAAGGGAAAUGUUAGUUAACUGGCUCAAAUGGCCCUUGAACAGACAGACUCGAGGAGAAGAAAAGAGCGAUGAAUUUCCCAGCAUUUCACAAGUACAAAGUGACCUUUCCCCAUUAGAUAUGAAUAAGAACAGAAUGAACACUGACCACUCAGCCUUCUUUGACUUCAACAGAUACAGACAGCAGCCACUCGGGGAUCGGCACAGCUGCUCCUUUCCAGCCUGCUGCUCUGUUUCGCGAGAGCGCACGUCUGCUUCUGCACAGGCCUUUCCCAAGUCUGACCAUUUUUAUACAAUAAACUUGCCACUAUUGCUCA